GAUGAACGCUAGCGGGAGGCUUAACACAUGCAAGUCGAGCGGGAUUCGCCUUCGGGCGAUGAGAGCGGCGCACGGGUGCGUAACGCGUAUGCAACCUGCCUCAUACAGGGGGAUAGCCCAUGGAAACGUGGAUUAAUAUCCCAUAGUACAGCAAUUCCGCAUGGGAUUGUUGUUAAAACCGAGGUGGUAUGAGAUGGGCAUGCGUCCGAUUAGGUAGUUGGUAGGGUAACGGCCUACCAAGCCGAUGAUCGGUAGGGGUCCUGAGAGGGUUACCCCCCACACUGGUACUGAGACACGGACCAGACUCCUACGGGAGCAGCAGUGAGGAAUAUUGGUCAAUGGGCGAGAGCCUGAACCAGCCAUCCCGCGUGCAGGAUGACGGCCCUAUGGGUUGUAAACUGCUUUUCCGCGCCAAGAAACCCCCCGACGUGUCGGGGCUGACGGUAGCGCGGGAAUAAGCACCGGCUAACUCCGUGCCAGCAGUCCGCGGUAAAGUCACA
RNAcentral lists this ribosomal RNA (500 nucleotides) under uncultured bacterium. RNAcentral describes it as "bacterial SSU rRNA". It matches the Rfam family "Bacterial small subunit ribosomal RNA", at positions 28 to 529 of the family's 1533-position model. The record is from RNAcentral.